GUAAUCGUGGCCGAGUAGUUAAGGCGAUAGACUCGAAAUUCGUUGGGGUCUACCCGCGCAGGUUCGAAUCCUGCUGACUACG
This is a non-coding RNA of Danio rerio (zebrafish), 82 nucleotides long. The record is from Rfam. NCBI's taxonomy places the organism in Eukaryota, Metazoa, Chordata, Actinopteri, Cypriniformes, Danionidae.